RNAcentral lists this long non-coding RNA (1070 nucleotides) under Homo sapiens (human). Its description in RNAcentral is "HSALNT0400608". The record is from RNAcentral. Lineage: Eukaryota; Metazoa; Chordata; Mammalia; Primates; Hominidae.
CACGUGGCCAGGGGCUGGCCAAUGACCAGGCCGCCCGGGAUGAGCUAAUAAUGGAAGCAAUUUGUAACUUUCAGUAACUCUCUAGGCCUGGGUACCGGAGGGAGGGAGGCGGGCAGAGGAGGGGAGAUGGGCACCCCCAGUUUUUCCAUCCUCCUCAUUCGUCUAGGGGCACCCGAAUCCCCUAUUCCUUAUUUCCCCUAUCACUCAGGCACUGGCAGGGUCCUUUUCCCACUCCUGUUGGCCGCCGCGGCUCCAAAGCGAGCUGGGCAGAUGUGCCUGAGACAGGUUUGACCAGGCAACUGAAAAUAUAUCCCUAAGAGAAGACAAAACAAAGAUAUGAAAGGAACACACUUCCCUGACUGACUAGGAGGAACAGAGCUGCCUGCUGACUGGAACCGCUUCCUCCCAGACUAAGGUUUCCCAGAGGAAGAGAGAGAAUUUGGACAAAUGAAUGAGGAACAACGCUCUCCUGAGGGUUUUCUUUAAGGGGCAAGGAUCAAUGCCUCUAGAUCCUUUGAAAGCAGAGUUAAGAGGCAGUGCAGGAAGGCACAGCAGGAAGGUUCAUGGUUAGACUACAGAGAAGGAAGCAGCCACUGCUGGGGACCUACCCUGUGCUGGUCACUGACAAGCUGUCUCAUUAAACCUUCCCGGACCCUCAACCCCUCCUAGUAUCUUAUCCUCAUUUUACAGAUGAGAAGACUGCGGCCCAAAGAGGUCCAAUGCCAGUGGGAUCAGCUUCGAUGGGAUGCGCACAGACUGACCUCUUCUCCCCAGCCCCUUCAACUUCCCAGAGCUGCAGGGGGCCUGGGAGUUCUUGGUAACAGCACAUUAAACCUCUGUUUGUGGGAACUUUAAUUUAAACAUAAAUUAGAAACGGCAAAUGACUCUGGCAGCCAGAUAAGCCAUCCCGGGAGAACAAGGAGAAAGCCAAGAGAAUCAGCCCAGAUAAGGCCUGACUUUAAACUAAUGGUGAUACCCAGAAGCCUGGGACAGAUGAAAUCUAGGGGUCCUGAAUGAAGAACCCCAGAAGCUCCACACCCCAGUUGUCCUUGCUCUGGGCUCUAUGUCAG